CCAGGAUGGAGAACAGGGGUCAGGAUGGAGAACAGGGGUCAGGAUGGAGAACAGGGGUCAGGAUGGAGAACAGGGGUCAGGAUGGAGAACAGGGGUCAGGAUGGAGAACAGGUGUCAGGAUGGAGAACAGGUGUCAGGAUGGAGAACAGGGGUCAGGAUGGAGAACAGGGGUCAGGAUGGAGAACAGGGGUCAGGAUGGAGAACAGGGGUCAGGAUGGAGAACAGGGGUCAGGAUGGAGAACAGGGGUCAGGAUGGAGAACAGGGGUCAUGGUGGAGAACAGGGGUCAUGGUGGAGAACAGGGGUCAGGAUGGAGAACAGGGGUCAGGAUGGAGAACAGGGGUCAUGGUGGAGAACAGGGGUCAGGAUGGAGAACAGGGGUCAGGAUGGAGAACAGGGGUCAGGAUGGAGAACAGGUGUCAGGAUGGAGAACAGGUGUCAGGAUGGAGAACAGGUGUCAGGAUGGAGAACAGGGGUCAGGAUGGAGAACAGGUGUCAGGAUGGAGAACAGGGGUCAUGGUGGAGAACAGGGGUCAUGGUGGAGAACAGGGGUCAGGAUGGAGAACAGGGGUCAGGAUGGAGAACAGGGGUCAUGGUGGAGAACAGGGG
Oncorhynchus tshawytscha (Chinook salmon) is the source of this 608-nucleotide long non-coding RNA. The record is from Ensembl. Lineage: Eukaryota; Metazoa; Chordata; Actinopteri; Salmoniformes; Salmonidae.